CUAGCAUAUCAAUAAGCGGAGGAAAAGAAACCAACAGGGAUUGCCCUAGUAACGGCGAGUGAAGCGGCAACAGCUCAAAUUUGAAAUCUGGCUCUUUCAGAGUCCGAGUUGUAAUUUGCAGAGGGCGCUUUGGCGUUGGCAGCGGUCCAAGUUCCUUGGAACAGGACGUCACAGAGGGUGAGAAUCCCGUACGUGGUCGCUGGCCUUCGCCGUGUAAAGCCCCUUCGACGAGUCGAGUUGUUUGGGAAUGCAGCUCUAAAUGGGAGGUAAAUUUCUUCUAAAGCUAAAUACUGGCCAGAGACCGAUAGCGCACAAGUAGAGUGAUCGAAAGAUGAAAAGCACUUUGGAAAGAGAGUCAAAUAGCACGUGAAAUUGUUGAAAGGGAAGCGCUUGCAGCCAGACUUGCCUGUAGUUGCUCAUCCGGGCUUUUGCCCGGUGCACUCUUCUGCGGGCAGGCCAGCAUCAGUUUGGGCGGUUGGAUAAAGGUCUCUGUCAUGUACCUCUCUUCGGGGAGGCCUUAUAGGGGAGACGUCAUACAACCAGCCUGGACUGAGGUCCGCGCAUUUUGCUAGGAUGCUGGCGUAAUGGCUGUAAGCGGCCCGUCUUGAAACACGGACCAAGGAGUCUAACAUCUAUGCGAGUGUUUGGGUGUCAAGCCCGAACGCGUAAUGAAAGUGAACGGAGGUGGGACCCCAUUAGGGUGCACCAUCGACCGAUCCUGAUGUCUUCGGAUGGAUUUGAGUAAGAGCAUGGCUGUUGGGACCCGAAAGAUGGUGAACUAUGCUUGAAUAGGGUGAAGCCAGAGGAAACUCUGGUGGAGGCUCGCAGCGGUUCUGACGUGCAAAUCGAUCGUCAAAUUUGGGCAUAGGGGCGAAAGACUAAUCGAACUAUGCUAGUAGCUGGUUCUGCGAGCU
This is a ribosomal RNA of 914 nucleotides. It matches the Rfam family "Eukaryotic large subunit ribosomal RNA", at positions 34 to 968 of the family's 3401-position model.